Molecule: long non-coding RNA, 512 nt
Organism: Anopheles gambiae (African malaria mosquito)
Lineage: Eukaryota; Metazoa; Arthropoda; Insecta; Diptera; Culicidae
Exons: 3
Source: RefSeq, a predicted model, not a curated record
UGAAGUAAAAUAAAUUCCAUUAUACUUUAUUUUGACCAUAUGAUCAACACUUGUACAUAGUGCCAUUUACUUUGUGUUCUUCACUCUUGCGUUGUGUUUUGAUCGUUCGAAACUCAUUGCCAGAACGAAUGCAAAUUUCAUUUGGGAAGGAUCGGUGCCGGAAGAUGCAGUGAAAAUUAUAAAAUGUUAAUAGAAAAGUGGUUAAGUAAAUCGUGAAAGAUGUCAACGCAGGCGUAAAUGCAGUUUGUUUUGUUACUUGAUCUACGGCAAUUUCAUUACCAAAGCACCUGAUAACCGAUCAAAGAAGGUGAAUCGGGCUUAUAGAGUCGCCGUUUAACUUCAAAUAUCUUCGUGAUCGGAAAACGCAUCAAACACCAAGUGUUUUUCUUCCAACAGCACGCGCCAUCGGUGGAGCAAGCAGCCAACGUUUCGUUCGUCUAGCACGCACCAUCAAGAAUUGAAAUAUUCCCGAAUAGCUCUGUGAAUAAAAAACUGCACACUUACUGUCCGAA